CCGGCCUGCAGCCCUGCCGCGCGCUCAUUCGCCAAGAAAGCGAUGCCAGUCGGCCAAUGAAAGAGCGUCUCUUUGAAGACGAACAGCUGAUGUCAUGUAGUUCCAAUUUGGGAGCGCUGAUUGUGAGGAUGCUGGAGAACUCUCGCCUAAUCCGCUCUCCGGGCUUAAAAUGGGGGAGAGCGGGGAAACCACCCCUCGCAGGCGCUUUCUACCCAUCUCUUCGGGCUCCAGAGCCAGACAAUAUGGAAUCUUUUCGGUUUGCACUCUGAAAAAAGAGAGAGUAACUUGGGGUGUUCCGAAAGAAGCUUCUCCUUCCCACGAACUAGCAGCUUGCAGCGGUAUCAAUUCUCUGCGACAUCCUCACUCAGUCUCUCCACCUCUGCUUCCUGUUGCAGUCCUGACAGAAAAUAUCUUGCAUCUGCAUUUUACCGAGAAGUUUAAACCUCUGAAAUCAGAAAUGGGGAACUCCAAAUGUUAUUGGAUUCUGUUUUCACUUCGGUCUGAUUGCCCAGUGAUUAGAAGAUGUGGAUCACACCUUCAAAAAUCAAACUGCACAUUAUUCAAAGCGGCAGGAAGCUACAGUGAAAGGAGACUUGAGUUAACAUGUGUCUCUACAGUACAUGAUUCUUACAGGAAAUUCCCCAUUUGUCCUGCUGAUUAUUUCCUAUUUUACAUGUGAAUGGAAAUCACAAAAGAAUCAGCUAACAUUGACUUGAUACUAACCAAUAUGACAAUAGAAAAGUGUUGCAUAAUGCUGGAGUUUUUGAUUUUAAAAUAAAAGUGAGUAUAUUCAAAUAUGUAUGUUGAGUUUUAAAAAAUAAGGUUAAUACGUUCGGUCAAUGGGAGCCUGGAACAGGAGAGGCUAAUAGGAAGAGAGGCUAAAAAUGGUUUGGACUUCUUAAGAAGAGAUAUUAAAAGCACAAAUGCAAACAAUGCCUGCGGGGAAGAACAAGGUCAGCAGAAGACUCAACUGAAAAAACAAAACAAAGGAUACAUGCAAUAAAUGGAAAAAGGCCAGGAUCAGAUACAAAAAAGUACAGGCAACUACCUCAGAACUGUAAAGCUGGUGUUAGUAAUCCCAAAGGUGCUUUUCCAACAGGCAACUGGACUUUGUUUUUUUUCCUUGAAAACAUUUUGCUUUCUCAUCCAAGAAGCUUCUUCUGUUCAUCUGAAGAACUGGUGAGAAGCGAAACAUUUUCAAGCAAAAAAAUCAAGAGAAAGCACUUUGGGACAACCAUGACUUGGAUGACUGAGAAUCUCCAAAGACACCUGGUGUUAAAGCAGAAGUUCAGAAUGAAUCAAGUUUAAGGGCAGAUGUUUAAAGUAAUUUUAAAAAAUGGCUUCUGUAUAAAAGUUUAAAAUAAAAGGCUUAGUAUUAGGGUUAAGCCUAACCAACACACACAAGAAUCGGUACACCAUAUCUUUAUCUCUGUUUUCAAUACAUGAGAAACAGAAAAUCAGCAAGUUACAGGCCAGUCAAAUCUAAUACUUAAAAGAAUUCCAUAGAAGGCAAUAAAAAGAUCAGCCUGUAAGCAAAUUAAAAAUGAUGAGAUGUAUUAGAAAUGUAUGUGGAUUUAUUGUGAACAAAUCUUGCCUUAUCAUGCUUAAUACAUAGUACAUCUUGACGUCAAAAUCUGACUAAAUACUACAUAGUUAAGUGUGGGCUGGAUUGCAAGAUAAUUAAAUCAAAAUCAUAUAUUCAAUGUAUUCAGAAAUUGGGAAUACGUACUAAGUGCCCAAGGAUCAGUCCUAGGUUGCUCUUAAUAUUAUUAUUAAUGAUUUUGAUGAAGAACUGGAAGGAAUAAUUAUAUUUGCGGGUGAUACAAAAUGAAUCGCUACUACCUUAACCAAAAGAAAUAAAAUUAGAAAUGAUCCUGAUAAAAUAGAGAAAUGUGACGAAAGUAAUGGAUUACAUUUUAUAACUCUAAAUACAAAGUGCUUCACUAGCAAUAUAAUGCGGUUGCUAAAAAAGAUAAAUGCUAUUUAGGCUGUAUCAAGAAGUAUAGCAUCCGUUCACUGGAAGUAAUAGUUCUAUAUUAUUCUGCUUCCGUAAAUCACCAUCUUAUGUACUAUUUCGGAUGCACAACUUUAGGAAGAAUUCAGAGAAACUGGAGCAGAUUCAGAGAAAGGCAAGAAUGAUCCUGGAAACUAAAAAUUAAGUUAUGUGAAGAGAAAUUGGGUAUAUUUUGCCUUAAGAAUAGUUGAAUGAAAGGGAGAUGGCAGCAUUCUUCAAAUGAUUGAAAGGAUUUAACAAAGAAGCCCACCUGUGGGGAUAGAGAGUAAUGGAUUUAGGUUACGGGAAAGCAGAUCCCAAUUAAGUAUUAGAAAAAAAUGUCCUGGAUGUUGUUUAACAGUAAAACCUAUUAUGAAGACAGGUGGUAGCUUUCCCUCUACUGUACAUAUUCAAGUAACAACUUAAACAGCCAGAGCUCACUGAAGCUUUAAUUCUUUCAGAGCUGGGGGUUGGCAUCAUAAGGUAGACUAGAUCAGGAAAUUAAUUCCAUAGAAAGACUAGACUUACAUUUUAUUGAAUUAGGCCAGUAACAGAAUCUUGCAAGUCUGCCUGUUAUUGUCUUAAUGGCUUCUGGAUGGUUACUGCAAGAUCAUCGCCAUCAUAGCUCCCUAUAGUUGGACUCAACAACUGAAAUGGCUCUUUUCAAUUUUUGUAACGCUACAAUGAUUUUAUUCAUUUAUCAGAUUUAGAUGGUCACCUAACUCAAACAAUUGAGAUGCUUGGCAGCAUAUACUGUACUUUCCGGCGUAUAAGAUGACUUCCGCAAGCGUUAAAAUCAGCGCCGAAGUCGGGGGUCGUCUUAUAUGGCGAGUCGUCUUAUACACCAGAAAUAACGGUAAUUUCCGGUGUAUAAGAUGACUUUCUAGCCAUGCAACUCGGCGCUGAAAAUGGGGGUCGUCUUAUACGCCGGAAUAUACUGUAAUCCACAACAAGCAAACAAUAAUGAAUCAAUAUAGUUAAAAGCAGCAGUAAAAAUCAAUAGGCACUUGGGAAACCCAGUUGACUUUAUAGCCUUCCAAAAAUUUGACCCCAAGGGAAGGAUGUUAUAAAAACCUUUCAGAAGAGUUGGAGCCAACUAUAUAUUUUAUUUAUUAAAUUUAGAAACUGCCCAUUUCCCUAACAGAGUCUAUGGCAUAUGCAUAUAUGUGUUUCAUUUCAGAGGCAGAUAUUACAGUGAAAAUGGCAGGCCUCUUAGGUCCUGCCGGAAGACAUUACUUCAAGGAAGGGACCCAAACUAUGCCCAUCCUAAUAGAGAUGUGGGAAAACCAGAGAUCAUGGGGAUUGAUUUUAUGAAAAGUAAAUAAAAUUGGCUGGAAUGAAUUCCAAAGAUAUAAUUAGGUCUUUAGUGUGAUGCUUAGUUUGCUUAUAUCACAUUAUCCUCCCAUUUGGGGGGCAUUUUUAUCUACAUUUAACUAUGUAUGUAUCAUCCUAUAGUUUUUUUUUAAGAGUAUACUGGUAAUCUUUCAGUUAUGACUCUAAUGGACCCCACCCAACACAGCUGUCAUUUAUGAUGGUCAAAAAGCAGGUCACCCACAUGACUGACCUGAUUUAAUAGCCUUUUUGGUGGUCAUUAAGCAAAUGCUAUAGUCAUUAAGUGAAUCAAUGCUUCAUUAUGGGUCAGUUUUGCUGAAAACUGGAAAUAAAUAUCCAUUUUUUUGCAAAACCGUGUAAAAUAUAGUUGUGCGACUGUGGGACACCAAAAGACACCAUAAAUGUGACCAAAUUGUUUAGCGUCCCAAGUGCAGUCACAUGAUUAAGAAGGGGUAAGGCCACCAUCAGAAUGUCAAAUUUGGGUCAUAAGUACCUUUGGGAGGAUCUGUCAUAACUUCAAAUUGUUCCUAAGUGACCAGUUGUAAGUUAAGGACUACCUCUACUGGAAUAUUUUGGAAAUGUUCAACUUAAAGUCACUCCUUCUAAGAGCUACAGAACAAUAAAUAUGACUACAAAUGGACCUGAAGACAUGUAA
Crotalus tigris (Tiger rattlesnake) is the source of this 3980-nucleotide long non-coding RNA. RefSeq lists it as uncharacterized. The transcript is spliced from 3 exons. Lineage: Eukaryota; Metazoa; Chordata; Lepidosauria; Squamata; Viperidae. The record is from RefSeq and is a predicted model, not a curated record.